AUGAAGCUUUACACAGUUAUUCCCGCCUUGCUGCCCGCGUGCUUCCUGUUCCCCUUUCUUCCUCCGAACCUCUGCUCCUAUUUCCAAUCUGACCUGAGCUCCGCCCCCUCCAUUGCUAUGGCGCCAGCUAGCAGAGAGAAGGGGAAGAAGCAUGUGUCCUCGUCGGGCUCCCCUCCUGCAGUCGAGCCCGCCAUCGACCGGUCACUGGUUCUCAAUCUGGAGGCCUUGGAGAAGGUCCGCCCCGCACUCGCCACUAGUUUCAACGAGUGCGGUAGGAUGGCGGUUUGGCCCGCAUCCCACGCCUCCAUCGACAGGGUUGUAACAAAGGUUCGAUUCUUCGUUGACGCGUUGUGGGCAGGCCUGGUUCCCCCUUUCUCUGCUUUCUUCAAUGCAAUGCUUUCCUACUAUCAGAUCCACAUGAUGCAUCUCGAUCCUCAAUCCAUUAAUCUUCUUGCUGUCUUCGCCUUUGUCUACGAAGCCAUGGUGGGCAUUGCCGCUUCAGUUUCUCUCUUGCGCCACUUCUUCUCCUUGCGCCUGACCGACCCGCCGCAGUGCUCAAGGUGCGUGAGCUUCCAGGACGUGGCCGAGACGGCCGCCUCAGGGAUUGAUUUUAGCCUUUCAACUUCUAUGAACGGGUUUCGGACGCGGUGGCUAUAUGUGGAUGUCUGA
This 669-nucleotide ribosomal RNA is filed under the name Triticum aestivum (bread wheat). Its description in RNAcentral is "partial small subunit ribosomal RNA". Lineage: Eukaryota; Viridiplantae; Streptophyta; Magnoliopsida; Poales; Poaceae. The record is from RNAcentral.